RNAcentral lists this ribosomal RNA (429 nucleotides) under Chloroflexota bacterium. Its description in RNAcentral is "Chloroflexi bacterium partial 16S ribosomal RNA". It matches the Rfam family "Bacterial small subunit ribosomal RNA", at positions 355 to 776 of the family's 1533-position model. The record is from RNAcentral. Lineage: Bacteria; Bacillati; Chloroflexota.
UGGGGAAUAUUGCACAAUGGGCGCAAGCCUGAUGCAGCCAUGCCGCGUGUGUGAAGAAGGCCUUCGGGUUGUAAAGCACUUUCAGCGGGGAGGAAGGCGGUGAGGUUAAUAACCUCAUCGAUUGACGUUACCCGCAGAAGAAGCACCGGCUAACUCCGUGCCAGCAGCCGCGGUAAUACGGAGGGUGCAAGCGUUAAUCGGAAUUACUGGGCGUAAAGCGCACGCAGGCGGUCUGUCAAGUCGGAUGUGAAAUCCCCGGGCUCAACCUGGGAACUGCAUUCGAAACUGGCAGGCUAGAGUCUUGUAGAGGGGGGUAGAAUUCCAGGUGUAGCGGUGAAAUGCGUAGAGAUCUGGGGGAAUACCGGUGGCGAAGGCGGCCCCCUGGACAAAGACUGACGCUCAGGUGCGAAAGCGUGGGGAGCAAACAGG